RNAcentral lists this long non-coding RNA (322 nucleotides) under Mytilus galloprovincialis (Mediterranean mussel). Lineage: Eukaryota; Metazoa; Mollusca; Bivalvia; Mytilida; Mytilidae. The record is from RNAcentral.
GGGGCACCAACUCCUAUAAGAUGCCAUUAAAUUGUAGCAGGCUAAAUGUAGCAUAUCUUCAUUACAAUAAAGCAGACAUUUUGCACUUGUUCUUUUAUAUGUAUCUUUCAGAGUGUCGGAGAAAAUGCAAAAACAAGCAAAAGUCACAAUUGAGAACCUGACCUUGACCUUUGACCUUGACCUCAUUUUCUAAGUUAGGACCUAGGGGCAUCAAAUAAAAACAUUACAGGGUUAUACGGUUAACUGUUUAUGAGUUAAAAAAACAUACCGACAAAUUUAUUUUGUAAAGGUAGAUAACUCCUAUUAAAUGUCAUCGAAUCGC